This is a long non-coding RNA of Equus caballus (horse), 1768 nucleotides long. The record is from Ensembl. NCBI's taxonomy places the organism in Eukaryota, Metazoa, Chordata, Mammalia, Perissodactyla, Equidae.
UUGCGUCCUCAAGGGCAGCCAGGCCCCACAGCGUCCGGCUUCCAGCUCUUUGUGAAGCUAAGAAACAGCUCACUCUGCACAGGGCUUUUACAAGCCUACCGGGAGCAUGUCUUACAAAGGCCUAUGAAACGCAGUUUCAUCUCAGGCCUGCUCUCGCUGAAGUAGAACUUCUGCUCUGCCGUGUCCUACAUGGGCCUAGAGCUAAAAGGGACAAAGUCCUGUCUUGUGUCCUCAAGGGCAGACAGGCCCCACAGCUUCCGGCUUCCAGCUCUUUGGGCAGCUAAGAAACAGCUCGCUCUGCACUGGUGUUUUACAGCCUACUGGGAACAUGUCCUACAAAGGCCUGUGAAACGCAGUUUCUUGCCAGGCCUGAUCUCGGUGAAGUAGAACUUCCGCUCUGCCGUGUCCUACAUGGGCCUAGAGCUGAAAGGGACAAAGUCCUCCGUUGUGUCCUCAAGGGCAGACAGGUCCCACAGCGUCCGGCUUCCAGCUCUUUGGCAGUCUAAGAAACAGCUCGCUCUGCACAGGGCUCUUAAAGCCUACCGGGAACAUGUCUUACAAAGGCCUGUGAGACGCAGUUUCGAACCAGGCCUGAUCUCGCUGAAGUAAAACUUCUGCUCUGCCGUGUCCUACAUGGGCCUAGAGCUAUAAGGGACAAAGUCCUGUCUUGUGUCCUCAAGGGCAGACAGGCCCCACAGCGUCCGGCUUCCAGCUCUUUUGCAGUCUAAGAAACAACUCGCUCUGCACAGGGCUCUUAAAGCCUACCGGGAACAUGUCUUACAAAGGCCUGUGAGACGCAGUUUCUUCCCAGGCCUGAUCUCGCUGAAGUAGAACUUCUGCUCUGCCGUGUCCUAUUUGACCCUAGAGCUGCAAUUCACAAAGUCCUGCCUUGUUUCCACAAGGGGAGGCAAGUCCCUCAGCGUCCGGCUUCCAGCUCUUUGGGCAGCUAAGAAACAACUCGCUCUGCACAGGGCUCCUACAAGCCUACCAGGAACAUGUUGAGAAAGGCCUGCGAAACGCAGUUUCUUCCCAGGCCUGAUCUCGCUGAAGCAGAAGUUCAGCUCUGCCGUGUCCUACAUGGGCCUAGAGCUCAAAGGGAGAAAGUCCAGCCUUCUGUCCUCAAGGGCAGAGAGGCCCCACAGCGUCCGGCUUCCAGCUCUUUGGGCAGCUGGGAAACAGCUUGCUCUGCACUGCUGUUUUACAGCCUACCGGGAACAUGUCUUACAAAGGCCUGUGAAACGCAGUUUCUUCCCAGACCUGAUCUCGCUGAAGUAGAACUUCUGCAAUGCCGUGUCCUGCAUGGGCCUAGAGCUGAAAGGGACAAAGUUCUUCCUUUUGUCCUCAAGGGCAGACAGGUCCCACAGCGUCCGGCUUCCAGCUCUUUGGCAAGAUAAGAAACAGCUCACUCUGCUCAGGGCUUUUAAAAGCCUACCAGGAGCAUGUCUUACAAAGGCCUGUGAAACGCAGGUUCGCCUCAGGCCUGCUCUCGCUGAAGUAGAACUUCUGCUCUGCCGUUUCCUGCAUGGGGCCUAGAGCUGAAAGGGACAAAGUUCUGCCUUUUGUCCUCAAGGGCAGACAGGCCCCACAGCGUCCGGCUUUCAGCUCUUUGUGCAGUCUAAGAAACAACUCGCUCUGCACAGGGCUCUUAAAGCCUACCGGGAACAUGUCUUACCAAGGCCUGUGAGACGCAGUUUCUUCCCAGGCCUGAUCUCGCUGAAGUAGAACUUCUGCUCUGCCGUGUCCUAUUUGACGCUAGAGCUGCAAUUCA